UACAUGGGGUGCAAACGUUGCUCGGAAUUAUUGGGCGUAAAGCGCACGUAGGCGGUUCGUUAAGUCGGAUGUGAAAGCCCUCGGCUCAACUGAGGAAGUGCACCCGAAACUGGCGAGCUUGAGUACGAAAGAGGAUCGCGGAAUUCCCGGUGUAGAGGUGAAAUUCGUAGAUAUCGGGAGGAACACCGGUGGCGAAGGCGGCGACCUGGACGGACACUGACGCUGAGACGCGAAAGCGUGGGGAGCAAAGCAGG
Molecule: ribosomal RNA, 254 nt
Filed under: uncultured bacterium
Lineage: Bacteria
Description: partial 16S ribosomal RNA
Rfam family: Bacterial small subunit ribosomal RNA
Source: RNAcentral